Molecule: long non-coding RNA, 417 nt
Organism: Sapajus apella (tufted capuchin)
Lineage: Eukaryota; Metazoa; Chordata; Mammalia; Primates; Cebidae
Exons: 3
Source: RefSeq, a predicted model, not a curated record
AAACUCCUUGGUUAUUCAACUUUGUCCAAGUUCAGCACAUUAUGAUGCUUCUUUUAUGUAUGUUAAAGGAACAAUGUAAGAUGGACUAGAAGCCCAUAAUACAUGAAAAGAUGAUAAAUGUUAUCUCUCUCUUCCACAGAAUUCAAGACUCCAGGACUCUGGAGAAUUAUACCUCGAUACUGAAAGAAUUCGCCCAGUGAUUUCAGAACCAGCAUUAGUAAUCUCUGAGAAAUUAAGUUAAGAAUGAGGUUUCUGGGUUGACAUAUCAGAGGAAUUCUAUGGCAUGCUGUCAUUAAUCACCAUGGUGGAAGAUGAGCUGCCACUGUGAUAAGACUAUCUGAUAAAGGCCCUUGCAAGAUGCCAGCCCUUCAAUUAUGGACUUCCCAGCCUCCACAACUGUGGGGAAAUAAAUUUCUG